AAAUUGAAGAGUUUGAUCAUGGCUCAGAUUGAACGCUGGCGGCAGGCCUAACACAUGCAAGUCGAACGGUAACAGGAAGCAGCUUGCUGCUUUGCUGACGAGUGGCGGACGGGUGAGUAAUGUCUGGGAAACUGCCUGAUGGAGGGGGAUAACUACUGGAAACGGUGGCUAAUACCGCAUAACGUCGCAAGACCAAAGAGGGGGACCUUC
RNAcentral lists this ribosomal RNA (210 nucleotides) under Salmonella enterica subsp. enterica serovar Infantis. RNAcentral's name for it is "partial 16S ribosomal RNA". It matches the Rfam family "Bacterial small subunit ribosomal RNA", at positions 1 to 218 of the family's 1533-position model. The record is from RNAcentral. Lineage: Bacteria; Pseudomonadati; Pseudomonadota; Gammaproteobacteria; Enterobacterales; Enterobacteriaceae. RNAcentral also lists the same sequence under 26 other names.